This is an unclassified non-coding RNA of Callithrix jacchus (white-tufted-ear marmoset), 352 nucleotides long. It matches the Rfam family "Metazoan signal recognition particle RNA". Rfam says of the family: The signal recognition particle (SRP) is a universally conserved ribonucleoprotein. Lineage: Eukaryota; Metazoa; Chordata; Mammalia; Primates; Cebidae. The record is from Ensembl.
GCCAGGCAUGAUGGCAUGUUCCUGUGGCCCCAGCUACUCAGGAGGCUGAGAUAGGAGGAUUGCUUGAGCCUGGUAGGUUGAGGCUCCAAUGAGCUAUGAUCAUACCAUUGCCUUCCAGCCUUGGUGACAGAGCAAGACCCUGUCUCAAAAAGUUCUAACUUCUUGGGAGGCUGAGGCAGGAGGAUUGCUUGAGCCCAGGAGCCCGAGGUUGCAGUGAACUAUGAUAAAGUGUUGGGGUGAACCGGCCCAGGUCAGAAACGGAGCAGGUCAAAACUCCCAUGCUGAUCAGUAGUGGGAAUCAGUGCCUAUGAAUAGCCACUGCACUCCAGCCUGGGCAACAUAGCGAGAUCUU